This 415-nucleotide long non-coding RNA is filed under the name Panax ginseng (ginseng). RNAcentral's name for it is "long non-coding RNA (PGIN_LNC008915)". Lineage: Eukaryota; Viridiplantae; Streptophyta; Magnoliopsida; Apiales; Araliaceae. The record is from RNAcentral.
AUGAAGCAUACUUGAGCUAUUUCAUCCUUGGCAUCGAUCUCAACUUCAGACUCCUCUUCAUCACUCCAAGUGAUAAGUGCCUUGUUUCUUUUAUUAUCUUUGAAGCUUGUUUUUCCUUUGUUCUUUAGUUGAAAGCAGUCCUUCUUGAAGUGCACUGGACGUCCACAUUUAAAACAUGUCUCCUCGGUUUGCUUUCCUUUGGCUUUAUUCGAAUUGAAGGUAUUUUUCCUUUUAUUCUUCCUUUGUAGUAAUCCUUUGAGCCUCCUUGACAUCAUGGCUAUCUCUUCAUCCGAAUCAUCAUCAAACUCUUCUUUAUUUCCUGCAUUAAGAACUAAAACCUUUCUUCGAGGAAUUUCCUCCCCAUCAUUAUAUCUCUUUAACUAAUGUUCAUAUUCCUCAAGUUCACCAAAAAGAG